Panthera uncia (snow leopard) is the source of this 743-nucleotide long non-coding RNA. RefSeq lists it as uncharacterized. NCBI's taxonomy places the organism in Eukaryota, Metazoa, Chordata, Mammalia, Carnivora, Felidae. The transcript has 4 exons. The record is from RefSeq and is a predicted model, not a curated record.
ACCACACCUGACAGUCUUAGCCAUGCCAGAGAAACCACACGAUUUAGAGCGAGGGGCAUUGAGUCACCUGGGAUCAGGCCACUUGGCAGCUGAGAUCAACCACCCAGAGGGAGAGGACACAGAGAAGCUGUGACUUUGGAACCCUCCAGGACUUCAUCCUAUGUGUUGCUUCCCUUGGCUGAUUUUAAUCCAUAUCCUUUCCCUGUAACCAUAACCGAAGGACAUGGUUUCUAGGCCUGCCAGUUUUUGCUUCCUGGCUGACUCUGGUGCUGGUAACAUCUGUGGUCUAAAUUUACUCAGUUUAUCUCAUGGUCAAAGGUAGUGGCUGAAGAAGAGGAGUGUGAGUUUGUUUUCUUACAAAGCAUAAAGAGGAUUAACGGGCCCCAGCAGCAAAUACAAGUUCCUCUGCUUGCCAACCCUUUUCAUCAGCUGCACUGUGCACCCCAGUGAGCUCUGCCGAACCUGCUGCCAUCUGCCUGGACUUUCUUUCUGCAAGAUGGCUCCUACACGAUGACCAUUGCGAAGACUCAGCUCUAGGUGCCACCUACGUGUGCAGGAACGGCCUAUGGGCCUCAGCCCGCUGGGACACUAUGCCGGAUUGGGCUAGAUGGGCGAUCCCAGAUGUGAUGUCAUUUUGACGCCCGGGACCCCAGACUCCUUUCAUCCCGUUCCUUCCACGCCUGUUUCUCCUUCUUGUCUCUCUCUUCCCGCUGGUAAAGCAGCGCGGAAGAGAGAGCGGACCG